Molecule: ribosomal RNA, 377 nt
Filed under: uncultured bacterium
Lineage: Bacteria
Description: bacterial SSU rRNA
Rfam family: Bacterial small subunit ribosomal RNA
Source: RNAcentral
ACACGUAGGGGGCGAGCGUUGUCCGGAAUUACUGGGUGUAAAGGGCAUGUAGGCGGGGAUGCAAGUCGUCGGUAAAAACCCGCAGCUCAACUACGGGCUUGCCGGCGAAACUGUAUCUCUUGAGUGCAGGAGAGGGAAGUGGAAUUUCCGGAGUAGCGGUGAAAUGCGUAGAUACCGGAAAGAACACCAGUGGCGAAGGCGGCUUCCUAUUCUGCAACUGACGCUCAGAUGCGAAAGCUAGGGUAGCGAACGGGAUUAGAUACCCCGGUAGUCCUAGCUGUAAACGAUGGUCACUAGGUGUGGGUGGUGGUCAAGCCAUCCGUGCCGGAGUUAACGCAAUAAGUAUCCCGCCUGGGGAGUACGGCCGCAAGGCUGAA